CCUACGGGAGGCAGCAGUGGGGAAUAUUGGACAAUGGGCGCAAGCCUGAUCCAGCCAUGCCGCGUGUAUGAAGAAGGCCUUCGGGUUGUAAAGCUCUUUCUGUAGGGAAGAUAAUGACGGUACCUACAGAAGAAGCCCCGGCUAACUUCGUGCCAGCAGCCGCGGUAAU
RNAcentral lists this ribosomal RNA (169 nucleotides) under uncultured bacterium. Its description in RNAcentral is "partial 16S ribosomal RNA". It matches the Rfam family "Bacterial small subunit ribosomal RNA", at positions 338 to 524 of the family's 1533-position model. The record is from RNAcentral.